UGGGGGAGUAGUUCAACUGGUAGAGCGUCGGUCUCCAAAACCGAAUGUUGCAGGUUCGAGUCCUGUCUCCCCUGCCAA
RNAcentral lists this transfer RNA (78 nucleotides) under Erwinia phage vB_EamM_Asesino. Its description in RNAcentral is "tRNA-Trp". It matches the Rfam family "tRNA". Rfam says of the family: Transfer RNA (tRNA) molecules are approximately 80 nucleotides in length. Their secondary structure includes four short double-helical elements and three loops (D, anti-codon, and T loops). The record is from RNAcentral. Lineage: Duplodnaviria; Heunggongvirae; Uroviricota; Caudoviricetes; Chimalliviridae.